GGAGAGAUGGCAGAGCGGUUGAAUGCGACGGUCUUGAAAACCGUUGUGGGGGCGACUCCACCCAGGGUUCGAAUCCCUGUCUCUCCGCCA
This 90-nucleotide transfer RNA is filed under the name Candidatus Peregrinibacteria bacterium. RNAcentral describes it as "tRNA-Ser". It matches the Rfam family "tRNA". Rfam says of the family: Transfer RNA (tRNA) molecules are approximately 80 nucleotides in length. Their secondary structure includes four short double-helical elements and three loops (D, anti-codon, and T loops). Further hydrogen bonds mediate the characteristic L-shaped molecular structure. tRNAs have two regions of fundamental functional importance: the anti-codon, which is responsible for specific mRNA codon recognition, and the 3' end, to which the tRNAs corresponding amino acid is attached (by aminoacyl-tRNA synthetases). tRNAs cope with the degeneracy of the genetic code in two manners: having more than one tRNA (with a specific anti-codon) for a particular amino acid; and 'wobble' base-pairing, i.e. permitting non-standard base-pairing at the 3rd anti-codon position. The record is from RNAcentral. Lineage: Bacteria; Candidatus Peregrinibacteriota.